UGCCAGCCGCCGCGGUAAUACGGAGGGACCUAGCGUAGUUCGGAAUUACUGGGCUUAAAGAGCUCGUAGGUGGUUAAGAAAGUUAGUGGUGAAAUCCCAAGGCUCAACCUUGGAACUGCCACCAAAACUUUUUAACUAGAGUAUGAUAGAGGUAAGUGGAGUUUCUGGUGUAGAGGUGAAAUUCGUAGAUAUUAGAAAGAACACCGAUUGCGAAGGCAGCUUUCUGGAUCAUUACUGACACUGAGGAGCGAAAGCAUGGGUAGCGAAGAGGAUUAGAUA
RNAcentral lists this ribosomal RNA (279 nucleotides) under uncultured bacterium. RNAcentral describes it as "partial 16S ribosomal RNA". It matches the Rfam family "Bacterial small subunit ribosomal RNA", at positions 506 to 784 of the family's 1533-position model. The record is from RNAcentral.